AUGAGACUGUACUCACUGCUGCUUCUGCUCCUGGGGUCCUCACAUGGGGUAUUCGCACAGCUGCCUGAGUUAAUGGAGGAGGAAGGUAGCGGUGUGACAGAGGUGACUCCAGAGCCAGAAACUGUGGAUGACACAUACUGGUCAGGCACAGCCCCCAUCUGUAUGGGAGGUUGUAAGGGGAGACACCAGGAACUGAAGAAGGAUCGCUGUGGGGACUCUGACUGCUGCUGGUUUGGCUAUAAAUCCCUCUGCAGAGUGAACUGUGGGAGGCCUGAUGUGGACUAUAACGGGAUGGUGUACGGGAACGACUGGUGGGUGGGCUCAGUUGUCCGGUAUGCCUGUCGCUCUGGCUUCCUAUUGGUGGGGGACCCGGCCCGAGCCUGCCAGUCCAAUGGAGGCUGGACCCCCAAACCCUCCUGUCUCAGGGUGUGUCGUCAGGGCCGUGUGGAGAUCACUGAGAAGGAGCUAGAAACAGCUACCUGCUCCUCCACCUGUCCCCUUAAGUCCUACAUGGGGCCUCUUAAGCAGGGCUGCUACGGCAUCGACAACUGCAGGAAGAUGAAUCCUGACUGGAAGCGCUGGUUCACCCGCUGUGACACGUGCCUGUGUGAUUGCCACAUUGCCUGUGUAUCUUUAGGUUAA
This 642-nucleotide long non-coding RNA is filed under the name Oncorhynchus mykiss (rainbow trout). RNAcentral's name for it is "lncRNA (ENSOMYG00000077417.1)". Lineage: Eukaryota; Metazoa; Chordata; Actinopteri; Salmoniformes; Salmonidae. The record is from RNAcentral.